This 203-nucleotide ribosomal RNA is filed under the name Lactobacillus delbrueckii subsp. bulgaricus. RNAcentral describes it as "partial 16S ribosomal RNA". It matches the Rfam family "Bacterial small subunit ribosomal RNA", at positions 1 to 186 of the family's 1533-position model. Lineage: Bacteria; Bacillati; Bacillota; Bacilli; Lactobacillales; Lactobacillaceae. The record is from RNAcentral.
CAAAUUGAGAGUUUGAUCCUGGCUCAGGACGAACGCUGGCGGCGUGCCUAAUACAUGCAAGUCGAGCGAGCUGAAUUCAAAGAUCCCUUCGGGGUGAUUUGUUGGACGCUAGCGGCGGAUGGGUGAGUAACACGUGGGCAAUCUGCCCUAAAGACUGGGAUACCACUUGGAAACAGGUGCUAAUACCGGAUAACAACAUGAAU